RNAcentral lists this ribosomal RNA (253 nucleotides) under uncultured bacterium. Its description in RNAcentral is "partial 16S ribosomal RNA". It matches the Rfam family "Bacterial small subunit ribosomal RNA", at positions 524 to 776 of the family's 1533-position model. The record is from RNAcentral.
UACGAAGGGGGCUAGCGUUGUUCGGAAUUACUGGGCGUAAAGCGCACGUAGGCGGAUAUUUAAGUCAGGGGUGAAAUCCCAGAGCUCAACUCUGGAACUGCCUUUGACACUGGGUAUCUCGAGUAUGGAAGAGGUGAGUGGAAUUCCGAGUGUAGAGGUGAAAUUCGUAGAUAUUCGGAGGAACACCAGUGGCGAAGGCGGCUCACUGGUCCAUUACUGACGCUGAGGUGCGAAAGCGUGGGGAGCAAACAGG